CCAAUAGCGUAUAUUAAAGUUGUUGCAGUUAAAAAGCUCGUAGUUGAAUUUCGGGAUUGGCGCAUCGGUCGUGCCUCACGGGGUAUGAACUGGUGCAGUCAAUUUCUCACCUUCUGGAGAACCGCGAUGUCCUUAAUUGGAUGCCGCGGGGAACCAGGACCUUUACUUUGAAAAAAUUAGAGUGUUUAAAGCAGGCAUUUUUGCUUGAAUACAUUAGCAUGGAAUAAUAAAAUAGGACGGCAUGGUUCUAUUUUGUUGGUUUCUAGGACCACCGUAAUGAUUAAUAGGGAUAGUUGGGGGCAUUAGUAUUCAAUUGUCAGAGGUGAAAUUCUUGGAUUUAUUGAAGACUAACUACUGCGAAAGCAUUUGCCAAGGAUGUUUUCAUUAAUCAAGAACGAAAGUUAGGGGAUCGAGGACGAUCAGAUACCGUCGUAGUCUUAACCAUAAACUAUGCCGACUAGGAAUCAGACGAUGUUAAUUUUUUAAUGACUCGUUUGGCACCUUACG
Molecule: ribosomal RNA, 507 nt
Filed under: uncultured Glomeromycotina
Lineage: Eukaryota; Fungi; Glomeromycota
Description: partial small subunit ribosomal RNA
Rfam family: Eukaryotic small subunit ribosomal RNA
Source: RNAcentral